RNAcentral lists this ribosomal RNA (261 nucleotides) under uncultured archaeon. Its description in RNAcentral is "partial 16S ribosomal RNA". It matches the Rfam family "Archaeal small subunit ribosomal RNA", at positions 748 to 1008 of the family's 1478-position model. The record is from RNAcentral.
AGGGUGUAAACGCUGCAGACUUGGUGUUGGGAACCCUUCGGGGGUGCUCAGUGCCGGAGAGAAGUUGUUAAGUCUGCUACUUGGGGAGUACGUCCGCAAGGAUGAAACUUAAAGGAAUUGGCGGGGGAGCACCGCAACGGGAGGAGCGUGCGGUUUAAUUGGAUUCAACGCCGAAAAACUCACCAGCAGCGACUGUUACAUGAAAGUCGAGUUGAAGACUCUGCUAGAUUUUCAGAGAGGAGGUGCAUGGCGUCAGUGACU